This 434-nucleotide ribosomal RNA is filed under the name Candidatus Kurthia intestinigallinarum. RNAcentral describes it as "bacterial SSU rRNA". It matches the Rfam family "Bacterial small subunit ribosomal RNA", at positions 1 to 426 of the family's 1533-position model. The record is from RNAcentral. Lineage: Bacteria; Bacillati; Bacillota; Bacilli; Caryophanales; Caryophanaceae.
UUUUAUGGAGAGUUUGAUCCUGGCUCAGGACGAACGCUGGCGGCGUGCCUAAUACAUGCAAGUCGAGCGAAUGAUGAGAAGCUUGCUUCUCUGAUUUAGCGGCGGACGGGUGAGUAACACGUGGGCAACCUGCCCUGUAGACUGGGAUAACUUCGGGAAACCGGAGCUAAUACCGGAUAAUUCUUUUAGCCUCAUGGCUUUAAGCUAAAAGGCGCUUCGGCGUCACUACAGGAUGGGCCCGCGGUGCAUUAGCUAGUUGGUGGGGUAACGGCCUACCAAGGCAACGAUGCAUAGCCGACCUGAGAGGGUGAUCGGCCACAUUGGGACUGAGACACGGCCCAAACUCCUACGGGAGGCAGCAGUAGGGAAUCUUCCACAAUGGACGAAAGUCUGAUGGAGCAACGCCGCGUGAGUGAUGAAGGUUUUCGGAUCGU